RNAcentral lists this ribosomal RNA (207 nucleotides) under uncultured bacterium. RNAcentral's name for it is "partial 16S ribosomal RNA". It matches the Rfam family "Bacterial small subunit ribosomal RNA", at positions 568 to 774 of the family's 1533-position model. The record is from RNAcentral.
CACGUAGGCGGACCGGAAAGUUGGAGGUGAAAUCCCAGGGCUCAACCUUGGAACUGCCUUCAAAACUAUCGGUCUGGAGUUCGAGAGAGGUGAGUGGAAUUCCGAGUGUAGAGGUGAAAUUCGUAGAUAUUCGGAGGAACACCAGUGGCGAAGGCGGCUCACUGGCUCGAUACUGACGCUGAGGUGCGAAAGCGUGGGUAGCAAACA